CUUCAACGACCCCAACCACAACGGACGAUCCGCAUCCCGAUCCUGCCCGUACGUGGCAAGAAUCGCCUCGGCUUC
Molecule: antisense RNA, 75 nt
Filed under: Nocardia bhagyanarayanae
Lineage: Bacteria; Bacillati; Actinomycetota; Actinomycetes; Mycobacteriales; Nocardiaceae
Description: ASpks TB sRNA
Rfam family: ASpks TB sRNA
Source: RNAcentral